This 126-nucleotide ribosomal RNA is filed under the name Triticum aestivum (bread wheat). RNAcentral describes it as "partial small subunit ribosomal RNA". The record is from RNAcentral. Lineage: Eukaryota; Viridiplantae; Streptophyta; Magnoliopsida; Poales; Poaceae.
GCCCACUUGGAUAUUGAGCAUUUACCCAUAAGAAUAGGAUUAUUUUCAAUGAGUAGUUGUAGGUGCAACUUCGGAAAAGAGAAUCUGAUAAAGCUUUUCUUGCCUAGAGUCAUUGAGUCAUUAUAA